UGGGGAAUAUUGGACAAUGGGCGAAAGCCUGAUCCAGCCAUGCCGCGUGUGUGAAGAAGGUCUUCGGAUUGUAAAGCACUUUAAGUUGGGAGGAAGGGCAGCAAGCGAAUACCUUGCUGUUUUGACGUUACCGACAGAAUAAGCACCGGCUAACUCUGUGCCAGCAGCCGCGGUAAUACAGAGGGUGCAAGCGUUAAUCGGAAUUACUGGGCGUAAAGCGCGCGUAGGUGGUUCGUUAAGUUGAAUGUGAAAGCCCCGGGCUCAACCUGGGAACUGCAUCCAAAACUGGCGAGCUAGAGUAGGGCAGAGGGUGGUGGAAUUUCCUGUGUAGCGGAGAAAUGCGUAGAUAUAGGAAGGAACACCAGUGGCGAAGGCGACCACCUGGGCUCAUACUGACACUGAGGUGCGAAAGCGUGGGGAGCAAACAGG
This 429-nucleotide ribosomal RNA is filed under the name Pseudomonadota bacterium. RNAcentral's name for it is "Proteobacteria bacterium partial 16S ribosomal RNA". It matches the Rfam family "Bacterial small subunit ribosomal RNA", at positions 355 to 776 of the family's 1533-position model. The record is from RNAcentral. Lineage: Bacteria; Pseudomonadati; Pseudomonadota.